UACGAAUUGGGCUAGCGUUGUUCGGAAUCACUGGGCGUAAAGGGCGCGUAGGCGGCUUUGUAAGUCGGGGUGAAAGCCUGUGGCUCAACCACAGAAUUGCCUUCGAUACUGCAUGGCUUGAGACCGGAAGAGGUAAGUGGAACUGCGAGUGUAGAGGUGAAAUUCGUAGAUAUUCGCAAGAACACCAGUGGCGAAGGCGGCUUACUGGUCCGGAUCUGACGCUGAGGCGCGAAAGCGUGGGGAGCAAACAGGAUUAGAUACCCCCGUAGUCC
This 272-nucleotide ribosomal RNA is filed under the name uncultured bacterium. RNAcentral's name for it is "partial 16S ribosomal RNA". It matches the Rfam family "Bacterial small subunit ribosomal RNA", at positions 524 to 796 of the family's 1533-position model. The record is from RNAcentral.